This 348-nucleotide long non-coding RNA is filed under the name Ananas comosus (pineapple). Its description in RNAcentral is "long non-coding RNA (ACOM_LNC008385)". The record is from RNAcentral. Lineage: Eukaryota; Viridiplantae; Streptophyta; Magnoliopsida; Poales; Bromeliaceae.
CAGCAUUAUUUCUUGGAUCUCUUUUAACAGGAAUAAUAAUAAUUAUUAUCUAUAUAUUUCUCAAAAAAUUUUAAAUUAUCUUAUAUAUUUCUAUAAUUUUUAAAUAUAUCUCUCGCGUAGUUUUUCGUUAUUAAAAAUUAACUUUACCGUUAGUAUCUGUUAAGUCAUUUUAGAUUAAUAUCAAAUUAAAUUUCUAUCGGAGAAAUUAAAAUAUUUUUUUAAUUUCUAAUUUAAGCACAAAUAAGAAAAAUGAGUGGUAAUAAAAAAACAUAUUUAGAAGGAUGAAAAAAUAAAUAAAAAAAAUUAGUGGCAGUAAAAAAUAUAUUUUUAAAAAACAUAAAAAAGUAA